Molecule: ribosomal RNA, 253 nt
Filed under: uncultured bacterium
Lineage: Bacteria
Description: partial 16S ribosomal RNA
Rfam family: Bacterial small subunit ribosomal RNA
Source: RNAcentral
UACAGAGGGUGCGAGCGUUAAUCGGAAUUACUGGGCGUAAAGCGCGCGUAGGCGGCUUUGCAAGCCGAGUGUGAAAUCCCCAGGCCUAACCUGGGAACUGCAUUCGGGACUGCAUGGCUUGAGUAUGGGAGAGGGAAGUGGAAUUUCAGGUGUAGCGGUGAAAUGCGUAGAUAUCUGAAGGAACAUCAGUGGCGAAAGCGACUUCCUGGACCAAUACUGACGUUCAUGUGCGAAAGCGUGGGGAGCAAACAGG